RNAcentral lists this ribosomal RNA (253 nucleotides) under uncultured archaeon. RNAcentral's name for it is "partial 16S ribosomal RNA". It matches the Rfam family "Archaeal small subunit ribosomal RNA", at positions 474 to 727 of the family's 1478-position model. The record is from RNAcentral.
UACCAGCACCCCGAGUGGUUGGGACGAUUAUUGGGCCUAAAGCAUCCGUAGCCGGUUCUGCAAGUCCUCCGUUAAAUCCACCUGCUCAACAGAUGGGCUGCGGAGGAUACUAUAGAGCUAGGAGGCGGGAGAGGCAAACGGUACUCAGUGGGUAGGGGUAAAAUCCAUUGAUCCACUGAAGACCACCAGUGGCGAAGGCGGUUUGCCAGAACGCGCUCGACGGUGAGGGAUGAAAGCUGGGGGAGCAAACCGG